RNAcentral lists this ribosomal RNA (1430 nucleotides) under Plantibacter sp. Axb6. Its description in RNAcentral is "bacterial SSU rRNA". It matches the Rfam family "Bacterial small subunit ribosomal RNA". Lineage: Bacteria; Bacillati; Actinomycetota; Actinomycetes; Micrococcales; Microbacteriaceae. The record is from RNAcentral.
UAGGGGUAGCAAUGCAUUACCAUGCAAGUCGAACGAUGAAGCCCAGCUUGCUGGGUGGAUUAGUGGCGAACGGGUGAGUAACACGUGAGUAACCUGCCCUUGACUCUGGGAUAAGCGUUGGAAACGACGUCUAAUACCGGAUACGAGCUUCCACCGCAUGGUGAGUUGCUGGAAAGAAUUUUGGUCAAGGAUGGACUCGCGGCCUAUCAGCUUGUUGGUGAGGUAAUGGCUCACCAAGGCGACGACGGGUAGCCGGCCUGAGAGGGUGACCGGCCACACUGGGACUGAGACACGGCCCAGACUCCUACGGGAGGCAGCAGUGGGGAAUAUUGCACAAUGGGCGAAAGCCUGAUGCAGCAACGCCGCGUGAGGGACGACGGCCUUCGGGUUGUAAACCUCUUUUAGCAGGGAAGAAGCGAAAGUGACGGUACCUGCAGAAAAAGCACCGGCUAACUACGUGCCAGCAGCCGCGGUAAUACGUAGGGUGCAAGCGUUGUCCGGAAUUAUUGGGCGUAAAGAGCUCGUAGGCGGUUUGUCGCGUCUGCUGUGAAAUCCCGAGGCUCAACCUCGGGUCUGCAGUGGGUACGGGCAGACUAGAGUGCGGUAGGGGAGAUUGGAAUUCCUGGUGUAGCGGUGGAAUGCGCAGAUAUCAGGAGGAACACCGAUGGCGAAGGCAGAUCUCUGGGCCGCUACUGACGCUGAGGAGCGAAAGGGUGGGGAGCAAACAGGCUUAGAUACCCUGGUAGUCCACCCCGUAAACGUUGGGCGCUAGAUGUGGGGACCAUUCCACGGUUUCCGUGUCGUAGCUAACGCAUUAAGCGCCCCGCCUGGGGAGUACGGCCGCAAGGCUAAAACUCAAAGGAAUUGACGGGGGCCCGCACAAGCGGCGGAGCAUGCGGAUUAAUUCGAUGCAACGCGAAGAACCUUACCAAGGCUUGACAUAUACGAGAACGGGCCAGAAAUGGUCAACUCUUUGGACACUCGUAAACAGGUGGUGCAUGGUUGUCGUCAGCUCGUGUCGUGAGAUGUUGGGUUAAGUCCCGCAACGAGCGCAACCCUCGUUCUAUGUUGCCAGCACGUAAUGGUGGGAACUCAUGGGAUACUGCCGGGGUCAACUCGGAGGAAGGUGGGGACGACGUCAAAUCAUCAUGCCCCUUAUGUCUUGGGCUUCACGCAUGCUACAAUGGCCAGUACAAAGGGCUGCAAUACCGUAAGGUGGAGCGAAUCCCAAAAAGCUGGUCCCAGUUCGGAUUGAGGUCUGCAACUCGACCUCAUGAAGUCGGAGUCGCUAGUAAUCGCAGAUCAGCAACGCUGCGGUGAAUACGUUCCCGGGCCUUGUACACACCGCCCGUCAAGUCAUGAAAGUCGGUAACACCCGAAGCCAGUGGCCUAACCGCAAGGAUGGAGCACGUCUACGUAGUUGUGAAGGC